CUACGGGUCGCUGCAGUGGGGAAUAUUGCACAAUGGAGGAAACUCUGAUGCAGCAACGCCGCGUGGAGGAUGACACUUUUCGGAGCGUAAACUCCUUUUAUAUAGGAAGAAGAUGACGGUACUAUAUGAAUAAGCGCCGGCUAACUCCGUGCCAGCAGCCGCGGUGAAUACGGAGGGCGCAAGCGUUACUCGGAAUCACUGGGCGUAAAGAGCGUGUAGGCGGAUUAAAAAGUCAGAAGUGAAAUCCUAUAGCUUAACUAUAGAACUGCUUCUGAAACUCUUAAUCUAGAAUAUGGGAGAGGUUGAUGGAAUUUCUGGUGUAGGGGUAAAAUCCGUAGAGAUCAGAAGGAAUACCGAUUGCGAAGGCGAUCUACUAGAACAUUAUUGACGCUGAGACGCGAAAGCGUGGGGAGCAAACAGGAUUAGAUACCCUCGUAGUC
RNAcentral lists this ribosomal RNA (440 nucleotides) under uncultured bacterium. RNAcentral describes it as "partial 16S ribosomal RNA". It matches the Rfam family "Bacterial small subunit ribosomal RNA", at positions 339 to 795 of the family's 1533-position model. The record is from RNAcentral.